This is a long non-coding RNA of Hemicordylus capensis (graceful crag lizard), 546 nucleotides long. RefSeq lists it as uncharacterized. The record is from RefSeq and is a predicted model, not a curated record. NCBI's taxonomy places the organism in Eukaryota, Metazoa, Chordata, Lepidosauria, Squamata, Cordylidae. The transcript has 3 exons.
UAUUCAAAAUAUAUUUAAAGACCACUUUAUGGCUUGGAAUCUCUCUCUGUUUCUCAUGUCUGCUGCCUGAGAGAGACUGAGGAGCUACUGCUGCUGCUGCUGCUUUGGUUGCCUUGCCUUGUGGCCUGGACUGGUGGUCUCCAGAGAGAGAGUCACAUCCCAUAACAUGCAGAAGCCCACACAGAGUGGGAGAAAAAUCCUCAGCAUUGGGAAUCUGACAGCAUGGUUGCAGAAGAAUGAUCCAUUCUGUGGUGAAGGCUCUGUGGGGAGUCGCUGUCGAGUCUGCCAGAAACUUCUUUGGCAACGGAGGAGAAAUGUGUUGGGAAUUCUUUCUGGAUCCCAAAUGCCAGAGAACACACUCAGACUCACAUCAGGACAACGGUUAAGAACUAAUCUUGAAGACAAAAUUAAUUGCAGCUGCAGCAGUCUGGUAUAGAUUAAAGAGCACUGCCUCAUAAGUUUCCUGUUAAAUUAUCUCUUAAGACUUUCUUUGUGGAGAUUAAUAAUGUUCAGAAUACUGCUAUCUUCAAUAGUCAAUUUCCAGUA